RNAcentral lists this transfer RNA (85 nucleotides) under Candidatus Roizmanbacteria bacterium. Its description in RNAcentral is "tRNA-Leu". It matches the Rfam family "tRNA". Rfam says of the family: Transfer RNA (tRNA) molecules are approximately 80 nucleotides in length. Their secondary structure includes four short double-helical elements and three loops (D, anti-codon, and T loops). Further hydrogen bonds mediate the characteristic L-shaped molecular structure. tRNAs have two regions of fundamental functional importance: the anti-codon, which is responsible for specific mRNA codon recognition, and the 3' end, to which the tRNAs corresponding amino acid is attached (by aminoacyl-tRNA synthetases). tRNAs cope with the degeneracy of the genetic code in two manners: having more than one tRNA (with a specific anti-codon) for a particular amino acid; and 'wobble' base-pairing, i.e. permitting non-standard base-pairing at the 3rd anti-codon position. The record is from RNAcentral. Lineage: Bacteria; Candidatus Roizmaniibacteriota.
GCCAGAGUGGUGAAAUUGGCAUACACGCAGGUUUUAGGAACCUGUGCCCGAAUAAGGCGUGGGAGUUCAAGUCUCCCCUCUGGCA